Molecule: ribosomal RNA, 253 nt
Filed under: uncultured bacterium
Lineage: Bacteria
Description: partial 16S ribosomal RNA
Rfam family: Bacterial small subunit ribosomal RNA
Source: RNAcentral
UACGAAGGGGGCAAGCGUUGUUCGGAAUUACUGGGCGUAAAGGGCGCGCAGGCGGCCAGACAAGUCAGAUGUGAAAUCCCCGGGCUUAACCUGGGAACUGCGCUUGAGACUGGUGUGCUUGAGUACGGGAGAGGAUAGUGGAAUUCCCAGUGUAGAGGUGAAAUUCGUAGAUAUUGGGAAGAACACCGGUGGCGAAGGCGGCUAUCUGGACCGUAACUGACGCUGAGGCGCGAAAGCGUGGGGAGCAAACAGG